RNAcentral lists this long non-coding RNA (232 nucleotides) under Pelobates cultripes (western spadefoot toad). Lineage: Eukaryota; Metazoa; Chordata; Amphibia; Anura; Pelobatidae. The record is from RNAcentral.
CCUGUCUUGUCUUUCCUCCAAGUUAUACAUGUUAGGUUCCUUUAACCUUUCCUUGUAAGUUUUAUCCUGCAAUCCAUGAAACAGUUCAGUAGCCCUUCUCUGAACUCUCUCCAAAGUAUCAAUAUCCUUCUGGAGAUACGGUCUCCAGUACUGCGUACAAUACUACAAGUGAGGUCUCACCAGUGUUCUGUACAAUGGCAUGAGCACUUCCCUCUUUCUACUUCUAAUACCU